RNAcentral lists this ribosomal RNA (373 nucleotides) under uncultured organism. Its description in RNAcentral is "bacterial SSU rRNA". It matches the Rfam family "Bacterial small subunit ribosomal RNA", at positions 527 to 896 of the family's 1533-position model. The record is from RNAcentral.
CGGGGGAGCAAGCGUUGUUCGAAUUUACUGGGCGUAAAGGGCGCGUAGGCGGCCACCGCAAGUCGACUGUGAAAUCUCCGGGCUUAACCCGGAAAGGUCAGCCGAUACUGCGGGGCUAGAGUGCAGAAGGGGCAACUGGAAUUCUCGGUGUAGCGGUGAAAUGCGUAGAUAUCGAGAGGAACACCUGCGGCGAAGGCGGGUUGCUGGGCUGACACUGACGCUGAGGCGCGAAAGCUAGGGGAGCGAACGGGAUUAGAUACCCCGGUAGUCCUAGCCUUAAACGAUGAAUGCUUGGUGUCUGGGGUUUUAUAGUCCCCGGGUGCCGUCGCUAACGCUUUAAGCAUUCCGCCUGGGGAGUACGGUCGCAAGACUG